This is a long non-coding RNA of Actinia tenebrosa (Australian red waratah sea anemone), 1182 nucleotides long. The record is from RefSeq and is a predicted model, not a curated record. Lineage: Eukaryota; Metazoa; Cnidaria; Anthozoa; Actiniaria; Actiniidae.
UAACUAAAUCUCCCUACCAGCCAUCUAACUAGACUUGUGCAAGUCAGCAUAUUUAAGCCUUUGCUUCUCUCACAAUGUAUAAAAUACCGCAGAAAAAUCCCCUUCAUAUUCUCAUGCAUAUAAAGCCAGUGCGUCACGGAUAGUUUUAACGUUAGCGCGUACCGAGAACGACAGCAGACAAGAAGAAAAAACCUAAACUCUCGUCAAAAUGGCUCAUGAAAACGAUGAAAACGAUAAGGUCUAUCACGAAGUAAUUUACGUCGUAGAACGAGCCACCGAUAAAGUGACUGCGAUUGUUCAUCGCUCUUCAAAUAAAACAUUUUCCCCUAUGCGAGGAAUGAUCAUCUCUACCAGGUACAAUACUGUAAAGAUCGUGACGGAAAACUGUAAAGUUGCAAAAUUUAGGAGGAACGGAGUCUUAAGUUACGAAGCUGUAGAUGACGACCACUGGCAGUAUUCAAAAAGAGUGCAAAUAAGUUAAGAACUAAAUUGCUGAUAAAGACAGUAGAAGAUAACGAAGGUCUUUCAUCAUUUAAAGGAACAUUGAAAAAAAUGAAAUAUGUGUUUAUAAUUUAGCUCUAAUUUCAAUCGAGUCGCUAUAAUCAACUUGAACCCAAUACAAUAGGUUUGGAAAACUAUCUACGAACACUGCACAAUGUUUGGUAAAAUAAUGCAUGCAAACUAUCCUGUGUCUUGCUUUGAUAAUAUUUUAGAAAGUUUUAUUAUAUUGUAGGUUUCUAGUUUCUUAAUUUUUUUCCUAAUGAAAACAUAGUUUAACUAAACACGUUUUGGUAUGAAUGGGGUACGAGACUCACUUCUACAAGACUAAAAUCCGGCUGUGUUUAUACUUUUGCUACUUUUGCUAGAAAGAUUUUGAAAUCUUUAUAAAGGACCAAACGAGUAGAAGAGCAUGUCACGAAUAAUGACUAUGAAUGCUCAUUAAUUAUUCAUGCAUUUUUGAAGUCGUUCAAACACUCCUGCUCAUUUAUUAAACUAUACUUUUAAUUGAGUCGCUAUAAUCAACUUGCACCCAAGACACUCGCCAGCAAAACACUUAUGUAAUUUCAAAUAGUUAUUGAACAAUAUCACUGGCGUAAUUAAUGAUGCAACCCAAAGAUAGUUUAGCACAUCUCAACAACAAUGUAAAAGCUAUUGUAGAAAUAAACGCUGUAAACAAUCCAA